This 499-nucleotide ribosomal RNA is filed under the name uncultured bacterium. RNAcentral describes it as "partial 16S ribosomal RNA". It matches the Rfam family "Bacterial small subunit ribosomal RNA", at positions 28 to 507 of the family's 1533-position model. The record is from RNAcentral.
GACGAACGCUGGCGGCGUGCCUAAUACAUGCAAGUCGAGCGAAGUUUUUCUGGUGCUUGCACUAGAAAAACUUAGCGGCGAACGGGUGAGUCACACGUAAAGAACCUGCCUCAUAGACUGGGACCACUAUUGGAAACGAUAGCUAAUCCCGGAUAACAUUAUUUCUCGCAUGAGAGAUAUUUAAAAGUUGGUUAUGCUAACACUAUGAGAUGGCUUUGCGGUGCAUUAGCUAGUUGGUGGGGUAAAGGCCCACCAAGGCGACGAUGCAUAGCCGACCUGAGAGGGUGAUCGGCCACACUGGGACUGAGACACGGUCCAGACUCCUACGGGAGGCAGCAGGAGGGAAUCUUCCGCAAUGGGCGAAAGCCUGACGGAGCAACGCCGCGUGAGUGAAGAAGGGUUUCGGAUCGUAAAACUCUGUUGUUAGGGAAGAAAAGAUGUGUAAGUACCUGUGCAGUUAGUGACGGUACCUAACCAGAAAGCCAAGGCUAACUACGUG